RNAcentral lists this long non-coding RNA (1119 nucleotides) under Canis lupus familiaris (dog). RNAcentral describes it as "lncRNA (ENSCAFG00040021763.1)". Lineage: Eukaryota; Metazoa; Chordata; Mammalia; Carnivora; Canidae. The record is from RNAcentral.
CUCCAAAACAACAGAGAAAAGGGAUUCCGGGAGGCGGCGUCCGGAGAGAGGAGGGAAGAGCCGAGGGGGCGGCGCGGGGUGGGAAGAGGCGGGAGGGAGGAGCGGCGGCCGGGACUCGGGCGAACUCCGCGGCGCUUUGGCCCGGCUCCGCCCCCCCGCCGGCCCCCGCGCCCGCCCCGACCCGCCGAGGUUAGGGGCCCGCGCGCCUGGAGCACCCCCACCCCGCGGGGACCCCUCGCCGGAGAGCCUGGAGCACCCCCACCCCGCGGGGACCCCUCGCCGGAGCUCCUGGAGCACCCCCACCCCGCGGGGACCCCUCGCCCGAGCGCCUGGAGCACCCCCACCCCGCGGGGACCCCUCGCCCGAGCGCCUGGAGCACCCCCACCCCGCGGGGACCCCUCGCCGGAGCUCCUGGAGCACCCCCACCCCGCGGGGACCCCUCGCCGGAGCUCCUGGAGCACCCCCACCCCGCGGGGACCCCUCGCCCGAGCGCCUGGAGCACCCCCACCCCGCGGGGACCCCUCGCCCGAGAGCCUGGAGCACCCCCACCCCGCGGGGACCCCUCGCCCGAGCGCCUGGAGCACCCCCACCCCGCGGGGACCCCUCGCCGGAGCUCCUGGAGCACCCCCACCCCGCGGGGACCCCUCGCCGGAGCUCCUGGAGCACCCCCACCCCGCGGGGACCCCCUCCCCCGGCCCCCCGCGCUCGCGCUCGCUCCCCGACCCGCCGAGGUUAGGGGCCCGAGCCUCCAGGAGCCCCCCGCGCGGGGACCCCUGGCCGGAGCGCCUAGAGUCCCCCCCGCCGCCGCCUCGCCCCCGGGGCUCCGUCAGCCGCCGCCUUCCCCUCGACGCAGUGGAGGAAAAGUCCGAAAGUUUGCAAAGUGAGGGCUGGCGGGGAGGCCGCGGCGGCCGAGCCCCAGGGAGGGGCCGAGGGAGGGCGCCCGACCGCCGCCGCCGCCGCUCUCCCGUCCCCCUGCUCCUCCACCCCCACUCGGGCGAGACUGGGCGAAACUGGGCCGGGGCGCAGCCUGGGGAUCGCUGGUGGGGGGGGGGGCAGGGUGAGCUAGCCCCCGAGCUAGCAGCGCCCUCUGGGAAGAAGCUUGAGGCUCCGAUCCCGUAG